GUAGGUGGCAAGCGUUGUCCGGAAUUAUUGGGCGUAAAGCGCGCGCAGGGCGGUCCUUUAAGUCUGAUGUGAAAGCCCACGGCUCAACCGUGGAGGGUCAUUGGAAACUGGGGGACUUGAGUACAGAAGAGGAAAGCGGAAUUCCAAGUGUAGCGGUGAAAUGCGUAGAGAUUUGGAGGAACACCAGUGGCGAAGGCGGCUUUCUGGUCUGUAACUGGCGCUGAGGCGCGAAAGCGUGGGGAGCAAACAGGAUUAGAUACCCUGGUAGUCCACGCCGUAAACGAUGAGUGCUAAGUGUUAGGGGGUUUCCGCCCCUUAGUGCUGCAGCUAACGCGUUAAGCACUCCGCCUGGGGAGUACGGCCGCAAAGGCUG
Molecule: ribosomal RNA, 373 nt
Filed under: uncultured organism
Description: partial 16S ribosomal RNA
Rfam family: Bacterial small subunit ribosomal RNA
Source: RNAcentral